RNAcentral lists this long non-coding RNA (674 nucleotides) under Gallus gallus (chicken). RNAcentral's name for it is "long non-coding RNA NONGGAT003290". Lineage: Eukaryota; Metazoa; Chordata; Aves; Galliformes; Phasianidae. The record is from RNAcentral.
GAAACAUCCUAUCCCCAGUCAGAGCUGUAACAGAAGGAAGGAGUGAAAGGGAUCAGUACGAGUGCUUACAGCUGAAGCCCUCUCAACGAAUUCCGUUCACAUUGAUGCAGACUCUGAAAACUCCAGUCCAACACACGCCACAGUCACAAAGGCAGGUGCAGUCCUCUUCAAAACCUGGAAUGGGAUGGCUUCAGUUCUCAGAGAGAAGCAAAGUUCAUCAGAGCUACGGAAGCACGGGCAAGGGAAGCAGGUACAGACCAGCUGGGAGGUAAUCACAGCUGUAUGCAGACACCACGUGCUGAAUAACAAGCAUGUCUACCAGAACUCAGGAUUCAGGACAAAGAAAAGGCAUUGAUACUUGGCUGAUUGCACUAAAUAGAACAAUAAAUAUAAGGCCAAAUUAUAAACUUAUAUGGGGUGAAAGAAAUGGAAGAUUUUUCCCAUGUGCCCUCCCUCAUGCCUCAGGACAGCUCUCCUGGAUCAAAAGAUGCAAACUAUAUCAUCAAUCAAGGUAUGUCACUAAACGAGCAAGGAGGAAAGCACAGAAUUUAGGGAAGAACCUCAUUUUAGUGGGCAGUAAUCGAAGCUGUAAGUAGUGCAGAAAUGUUAUUCUUGUUCUUCAGUAAGUUAAGUACAACUAUAGGACAGGAAAUGUGGAGAACAGCAGAUGAGAC